Nycticebus coucang (slow loris) is the source of this 117-nucleotide small nucleolar RNA. RefSeq annotates it as small nucleolar RNA SNORA26. The transcript has a single exon. NCBI's taxonomy places the organism in Eukaryota, Metazoa, Chordata, Mammalia, Primates, Lorisidae. The record is from RefSeq and is a predicted model, not a curated record.
GUGUCUUUUUAAGGUUGAUGCGGUGCUCUAAAAGGCUAACACGGAAGGAAAACACGUCUCCAUAAAACCCGGAGAAGAGAUUAUAAAUCUCUUUGGAUUCCAUCUGGAGACACAACU